AACGAACGCUGGCGGCAUGCUUAACACAUGCAAGUCGAACGAGCUGGGGGCUUCGGUCCCCGAUGGUAGUGGGGCGCGGGCGAGUAAGUCGUGGGAAGAUGCCCUUUAGUACGGAAUAACAUAGGUAAAGUUUGGCGAAUACCGUAUAGGCUCUUCUGGUGAAAGAUUUAUCGCUAUAGGAUUAGCCCGCGUUUGAUUAGGUAGUUGGUGAGGUAGUGGCACACCAAGCUGAUGAUCAGUAGCUGGUAUGAGAGGAUGAGCGGCCACACCGGCACUGAGACACGGUCCAGACUCCUACGGGAGGCAGCAGUGGGGAAUAUUGCACAAUGGGGGGAACCCUGAUCCAGCCAUGCCGCGUGAGUGAAGAAGGCCUUCGAGUUGUAAAGCUCUAUCAACUGUGACGAUGAUGACGGUACCCGUAUAAGAAGCCCCGGCUAACUACGUG
RNAcentral lists this ribosomal RNA (445 nucleotides) under uncultured bacterium. RNAcentral describes it as "partial 16S ribosomal RNA". It matches the Rfam family "Bacterial small subunit ribosomal RNA", at positions 29 to 507 of the family's 1533-position model. The record is from RNAcentral.